CCCCUAGUAACUGCGAGUGAAGCGGGAAAAGCUCAAAUUUAAAAUCUGGCGGUCUCCGGCCGUCCGAGUUGUAAUCUAGAGAAGUGUUAUCCGCGCUGGACCGUGUACAAGUCUCCUGGAAUGGAGCGUCAUAGAGGGUGAGAAUCCCGUCUUUGACACGGACUGCCAGGGCUUUGUGAUGCGCUCUCAAAGAGUCGAGUUGUUUGGGAAUGCAGCUCAAAAUGGGUGGUAAAUUCCAUCUAAAGCUAAAUAUUGGCGAGAGACCGAUAGCGAACAAGUACCGUGAGGGAAAGAUGAAAAGAACUUUGGAAAGAGAGUUAAACAGUACGUGAAAUUGCUGAAAGGGAAACGCUUGAAGUCAGUCGCGUUGGCCGGGGAUCAACCUUGCUUUUGCUGGGCGUACUUUCCGGUCGAUGGGUCAGCAUCAAUUUUGAUCGUUGGAUAAAGUCUUGGGGAAUGUGGCAUCUUCGGAUGUGUUAUAGCCCUUGGUCGCAUACAACGGUUGGGAUUGAGGAACUCAGCACGCCGAAAGGCCGGGUAUUCGUACCACGUUCGUGCUUAGGAUGCUGGCAUAAUGGCUUUAAUCGACCCGUCUUGAAACACGGACCAAGGAGUCUAACAUGCCUGCGAGUGUUUGGGUGGAAAACCCGGACGCGUAAUGAAAGUGAAAGUUGAGAUCCCUGUCGUAGGGAGCAUCGAC
Molecule: ribosomal RNA, 700 nt
Filed under: Psathyloma psathyrelloides
Lineage: Eukaryota; Fungi; Basidiomycota; Agaricomycetes; Agaricales; Hymenogastraceae
Description: Pholiota psathyrelloides partial large subunit ribosomal RNA
Rfam family: Eukaryotic large subunit ribosomal RNA
Source: RNAcentral